RNA transcript from Ziziphus jujuba (common jujube), 693 nucleotides. It is a transcript of the gene named NADH dehydrogenase [ubiquinone] 1 beta subcomplex subunit 3-B-like, with no coding region annotated. NCBI's taxonomy places the organism in Eukaryota, Viridiplantae, Streptophyta, Magnoliopsida, Rosales, Rhamnaceae. The record is from RefSeq and is a predicted model, not a curated record. The transcript has 4 exons.
CCGGCCCAACCAACCGAAGCCCAACAUAUACUGGAAUUUGGAAAGGUUCCAUUUUACCUAAACGGAGCACGAAGAAGAAGAAGAGGCAGAGAAAGUAAGAGAGAAUGGCGAAGCCGCUUGGAGCGACCGGAGAGUUCUUCAGGAGGAGGGAUGAGUGGAGGAAGCAUCCGAGGCUUAGCAAUCAGCUCCGCCACGCCCUUCCCGGUUUUGGCCUCGGAGUCGCCGCCUUCGGCAUCUACCUGGUUGGCGAGCAGGUCUACAACAAACUCCUUGCUCCAUCCUCCUCCUCUUCUUCUUCUUCUCACCACUCUUCCCAUUCCUCUGCUUCUCACUGAUUCAUUGAGACAACGACAACAAAAACCUGAUCAGGUAUCAAUCUGAUUGGGCUUACUUCUUUGAAUACACCAGGACUACGUUUAGAGUUUGUAGUAUUCACGGGAAUGUUUUGCUUGUUUUUCCCACAUGAAAAUUGAAUGGAUGCUUGGGAGAAGGAAAGGAGCAUGGACUUGUAAUUUCGAAGUCUCCUUGUUGGUUUGUUCAUUUAGCAAUAAGCUUUUAAUUGCCAAGAGACAUGAAGAACUUAAAGCUUGUGAAUUUAUAAUGUAUUUAAACAUGCUGUUGCUAUUUACUCUUAUGUCUUGCAACUCGUGGCUCAGUAUAUUGCAUCCAUGCAAGUAUUGUUUUCUUUUAAAA